AACGAACGCUGGCGGCAGGCCUAACACAUGCAAGUCGAGCGCCCCGCAAGGGGAGCGGCGGACGGGUUAGUAACGCGUGGGAAUGUACCCUUUUCUACGGAAUAGCCUCGGGAAACUGAGAUUAGUACCGUAUACGCCCUUCGGGGGAAAGAUUUAUCGGAGAAGGAUCAGCCCGCGUAAGAUUAGAUAGUUGGUGGGGUAAUGGCCUACCAAGUCUACGAUCUUUAGCUGGUUUGAGAGGAUGAUCAGCAACACUGGGACUGAGACACGGCCCAGACUCCUACGGGAGGCAGCAGUGGGGAAUCUUAGACAAUGGGCGCAAGCCUGAUCUAGCCAUGCCGCGUGAGUGAAGAAGGCCUUAGGGUCGUAAAGCUCUUUCAGUGGGGAAGAUAAUGACGGUACCCACAGAAGAAACCCCGGCUAACUCCGUGCC
RNAcentral lists this ribosomal RNA (433 nucleotides) under uncultured Alphaproteobacteria bacterium. RNAcentral's name for it is "bacterial SSU rRNA". It matches the Rfam family "Bacterial small subunit ribosomal RNA", at positions 29 to 509 of the family's 1533-position model. The record is from RNAcentral. Lineage: Bacteria; Pseudomonadati; Pseudomonadota; Alphaproteobacteria.